UUUCCGUAGGUGAACCUGCGGAAGGAUCAUUACUGAGACUGGGUGCUUCGGCGCCCGACCUCCAACCCUUUGUCUACCUUACCACUGUUGCCUCGGCGUUUAGGGGGGGAGACCCCCCGGCGCCGGUGGCCUUUUAUGAAACCCUUUUGAAACACAGCCUUCUGAGAAAUUAUUUAAUAACUUCAAAACUUUCAACAACGGAUCUCUUGGUUCUGGCAUCGAUGAAGAACGCAGC
Molecule: unclassified non-coding RNA, 235 nt
Filed under: uncultured fungus
Lineage: Eukaryota; Fungi
Description: sequence contains ITS1, 5.8S rRNA gene
Rfam family: 5.8S ribosomal RNA (bases 187-235)
Source: RNAcentral